Molecule: long non-coding RNA, 3570 nt
Organism: Podarcis raffonei (Aeolian wall lizard)
Lineage: Eukaryota; Metazoa; Chordata; Lepidosauria; Squamata; Lacertidae
Exons: 2
Source: RefSeq, a predicted model, not a curated record
UUGGGCGCGUCUUUCAAUUUCAACAUCAGUUUGCAAAUUCUUUCAUUUUAAAAAAAGGUCAGCAUUUUAGUACAAAUUUCUCCUACACGCACAUUGUUGUACACAAUGUUUUUGCAAGUAGUAUCCACUAAUAUAAUGCAUUUUUAUGCACACUUUACCUAAUUUGUAUGAAUUGCUUGAUUAGAGAUCUGCAUUGCAAAAUUCAAAGAAGUCUGAAUUUCACAAGAUGACUGUAUUUGGUUCAUAUAUUUUCAGGAGUUAGGAAGAUUCGCCUUUAAAUGUGAACCAAAUCCCUCAUUAGCUUGGCCUACCAAUGCACUUAGGUAAACAAAAGUGAGGAUUAAUCAGCAAUGUUAACUGUAUGCUGUGUACCCCCCCCCAACAGCACUUUCUGCAGUGGAUAAAAGAUUUGUUGUAAACAAAACAAAAAAGACCCUAAUGUAAUUGUAUAUUUUGUUUAAGGAUUGACUUGUUGAAUUAUUAGGUAGUGUUUCAAUUGAUUCAUUUGAUAGGGUUGGUUCACAUGAAAACGAAGAGCAAGACCUUGCAGUUCAGGAUAAGCAUGUUGAACCUGUGAAGCCUGCAAUGCAAAAUGUAGCUGCCUGCAGGGUAGACACUAUGUAAUGUUUUGGGCUGCAGUUCAACACAGGAUUAGGUGUGCUUAAAGCUCUUUUGAAAUAACUGGAUUUAAAGCUCCCAUCCCGAGCACAAGUGAGUUACCUGUCUGGGUCUCACAUGGCCCUUCCACUUCCUCGAUGUGGAACCCCAGAGUCUGCCAUACCUGCCGCCACCACACAGCAGGCAGGCAUUCCUGCUUGCGUGUGGGUCAGGCAUAGUGUGCCACAGAUAUAGAGUGGUGCUUUGGAACUCCAUUCUUGGCCCACACUCUGUGGUUUGGUUGUGUGUGUGUGUAGGAAUGCUGGCCAUUUUUCAAACCUCUGGUAGUGCCGAUUGCACUCUCCAGUGAUGGCUGGAGUGGUUCUGCCAGUGAAAUAGUUACAACACAGAGAAGGCGGGAGCAGAACAGGGUGGUUGGCUAGAUGGGGGGGAAUGGGGAGGUGGAAGCCUGUGUAAGGGGGAACUUCUGUGUUUGCAAGUGGAGGAAUGCGUGUUUUUGUGAGUGAGAAGAUGAGUGAUGGUUGAAUGAAGAGAAGGAGAGAGAGAGAGAGAGAGAGAGAGAGAGAGAGAGAGAGAGAGAGAGAAGUGCUGCCCCCCUCCCCACACUUUUGGAACACGUUCCAAUGGUGGACAGUUUCCCCCUAAGCGGCGAUGGCCCUAAACCCCCAAAAAACUUUCUCAUCUUCUUGCUGGAAAGAAAGCCUUGUCAAUAACAUUUUCAAAAUCAAGAAUCUUAAUUUUGUCUCUCCUUGAGCCCUUUAACAUUUUUCUUCCAUCUGGUCUGGAGAAUCUUCCUCAUUUCUUUUUACAACUCUUUUGAGCUCCUGUGAUGGAACCAGAGCUGUGCAUCUAAUUAGUUCACAGUUAAUGUGCUGUAAAGUGUAAUUUUGUACUAGCACCACACUUUUCAUCUUCGGAGAGCUUGGCAAAUAUGUAAGUCAUUAAUCUUGUCGAUGCUGCUCUGAGGCAGGUACUCUUUGCCAACUUCACCUUCCACCUCUGGGUGGGCAACCUUUUAAUAUUGAAAUUGUCUCAGGGCCACAGAGCAAAUUAAUAUUAGAGAGUGAGAUGAUAAAACUGCUUCUGCCACUUGGGUUUAUAUGCUCUAUAAUGACAGUAUGUAUAGAGAAUGCCAUUCAAUGGCAUCUCUCCUCCCUCCUCCCCCCCCCAGCAUAAAAUAUGUUGUUAGCAACACCUGGCGAGUUUUUCAUAUCGCUAACAUUUAGGAUGUUAUUUCCCCUCUUGCCAUAUAUUGCUUUGCGGUAUCAUGAAGUGCUGAGGUGCUUUCAUGCUGAUGGUUUUAUGAGAGUUCCUUGGUGACUUAUAAUGCUCCCUCUCUGUGAUCCACACACCCCUCUCCCCCAUAGAUCAAAUUAGAUGUCCAUGGGAAGAUUGUGAUAUGUCUCUGAAAGGGUUUUUAAUGAACCCUGACUGCCAUCAGGAGUGAGGAAACAGCAAGCGGUGGGGUGGGCAGCACUUCUCUUUCCUGCAGUUUGCCCACUCAGAAUUUAUUUCCCCCAGUUGCUUAUCUCCCUGUGAGGGAAAAAUAUCUGGGGACUCAUCCAUUCAGGUGGUUUAUACAAUGUGUGCUGUUGGAAUGUUUUAUGUUCUUUAGGGGGGUUUUGUGUCCAUGAUAUUGCUGUGCUUUAUUUUAAUGAACUAACAUUCAUUAAUUUGGGGAACCUUUGGGUUGAAAGCUUGGUUAUAAAUCCAAUUAGUAAUAAUAACAUCUUUUCCUACCCUCUUCCUUCACUCAGACUGCAGCCUUACCUAGCAAAUUCCAUUUUUUAAGUCAGGAGACUGAUUGAUGUUAUCUCCUAUGUAAUGUCUGCUCCACCCCACCCCACCUUGAUCGUGAAGGUUGCAGAUUGUUUGGGGUCAUAAUUGACUACACUGUAAAUAGCAUUUUGGGGGCUUUGGAAGUGUGGGAAAUGAGCAGCGGACUGGGCACUCUUUCCUCAGCCCAAUGUACCCAAUUGCCCCCUCUUCCACAUCUCUGUAUUUCUUAAUUUGUGUAUGUGGCUAGCCUGGGCCGCCAUAGUACAUUUGUUGGAUGGAGGGUAGGAUUUGUGCAGUAGCUAUAACAAACAGGAGUUUGGAAGGUGGGGGAGCAAGGAGGAAGCUUUCCAAAUGUAGCUGCUUUGGUAGUCGACCAUUAUUUACAAUGUCCACUAACUGGACCUGUCUACCAAAGUGUCAGGGGAGGCAAGCUGUGGCCUCGCUUCCUACUGGACUAUGGAGAUGCUCAGAAGCAGUGAGAAUCUUACUUCCUCUUGCAUCUGAGUGUUUCCAAAGCUUGGCAUGAACCAAGUGGCCGACUUCUCUUUUCCAAGUACGUGCCAGAGAGAUAUUGGGGAGAGGGCCAGGCUGAUUCUUCCACACAGCGUGAAGCAAAAUGCUGCUCCUGGCUUUUGAGUCCCCCUAGUUGUGUGGAGAACUUGUGGUGGGGGAGGGAGGGUCUCAUCUAGCAGUAAUUCAUUUUAUGGGCACCACUUUGAUAGACAAUAUGGAAAUUUAAUACAGUGCGUGGCCCCCAGGUUCUGAUGAAGUGCUCUUGUGGCCCACUUGGUCUGAGUUGAAACAAACAAACAAAAUCCUUCCAGUAGCACCUUAGAGACCGACUAAGUUUGUUAUUGGUAUGAGCUUUGGUGUGCAUGCACACUUCUUCAGAUGCACACGAAAGCUCAUACCAAUAACAAACUUAGUUGGUCUCUAAGGUGCUACUGGAAGGAAUUUUGUUUAUUUGUUUCGACUAUGGCAGACCAACACAACUACCGACCUAUAACUUGGUCUGAGUUGUUGGGACCACCUUGCUUUAGGGUAACCUUUAGAUUGCCCUUUUACGUUGCCCACUUGGUGUCCUGUAGAUGUUUUAGACUACAACUCUUCAUCCUCAGCUCCAGCACAUGUGAAGAGGUGGUUGGCGAAAGCUGCCACAGACAGCUAUGGAAC